UACGUAGGGCGCAAGCGUUGUCCGGAAUUAUUGGGCGUAAAGAGCUCGUAGGCGGCUUGUCACGUCGGGUGUGAAAGCCCGGGGCUUAACCCCGGGUCUGCAUUCGAUACGGGCAGGCUAGAGUGUGGUAGGGGAGAUCGGAAUUCCUGGUGUAGCGGUGAAAUGCGCAGAUAUCAGGAGGAACACCGGUGGCGAAGGCGGAUCUCUGGGCCAUUACUGACGCUGAGGCGCGAAAGCGUGGGGAGCGAACAGG
RNAcentral lists this ribosomal RNA (253 nucleotides) under uncultured bacterium. RNAcentral's name for it is "partial 16S ribosomal RNA". It matches the Rfam family "Bacterial small subunit ribosomal RNA", at positions 524 to 776 of the family's 1533-position model. The record is from RNAcentral.